This 253-nucleotide ribosomal RNA is filed under the name uncultured bacterium. RNAcentral describes it as "partial 16S ribosomal RNA". It matches the Rfam family "Bacterial small subunit ribosomal RNA", at positions 524 to 776 of the family's 1533-position model. The record is from RNAcentral.
UACGGAGGGUGCAAGCGUUGUUCGGAAUUACUGGGCGUAAAGCGCGUGUAGGCGGCCUGCUAAGUCCGAUGUGAAAUCCCGGGGCUCACCCCCGGAAGUGCAUCGGAUACUGGUGAGCUAGAGUACCGGAGAGGAGGACGGAAUUCCUGGUGUAGCGGUGAAAUGCGUAGAUAUCAGGAGGAACACCGAUGGCGAAGGCAGGUCUCUGGGCAUUAACUGACGCUGAGGAGCGAAAGCAUGGGGAGCGAACAGG